This 468-nucleotide ribosomal RNA is filed under the name uncultured bacterium. RNAcentral's name for it is "partial 16S ribosomal RNA". It matches the Rfam family "Bacterial small subunit ribosomal RNA", at positions 28 to 507 of the family's 1533-position model. The record is from RNAcentral.
GACGAACGCUGGCGGCGUGCUUAACACAUGCAAGUCGAACGGAAAGGCCCUGCUUUUGUGGGGUGCUCGAGUGGCGAACGGGUGAGUAACACGUGAGUAACCUGCCCUUGACUUUGGGAUAACUUCAGGAAACUGGGGCUAAUACCGGAUAGGAGCUCCUGCUGCAUGGUGGGGGUUGGAAAGUUUCGGCGGUUGGGGAUGGACUCGCGGCUUAUCAGCUUGUUGGUGGGGUAGUUGCUUACCAAGGCUUUGACGGGUAGCCGGCCGGAGAGGGUGACCGGCCACAUUGGGACUAAGAUACGGCCCAGACUCCUACGGGAGGCAACAGUGGGGAAUAUUGCACAAUGGGCGGAAGCCUGAUGCAGCAACGCCGCGUGCGGGAUGACGGCCUUCGGGUUGUAAACCGCUUUCGCCUGUGACGAAGCGUGAGUGACGGUAAUGGGUAAAGAAGCACCGGCUAACUACGUG